Vigna unguiculata (cowpea) is the source of this 437-nucleotide long non-coding RNA. RefSeq lists it as uncharacterized. The record is from RefSeq and is a predicted model, not a curated record. Lineage: Eukaryota; Viridiplantae; Streptophyta; Magnoliopsida; Fabales; Fabaceae.
CAAAAUUAAACAAAACUUCAUUCUCCAUAACAAUUUAACACACAAGAAUAUCGAAGAUGGAUUCUCAAAACUCCCAAAACGCAAGCUUUAACGCUGGCCAAGCCAAGGGCCAAGCUCAAGAAAAGGCUAGCAACAUGAUGGACAAGGCUAGCGAAGCUGCUCAUUCUACUCAAGACUCCAUGCAAGAGGCUAGACAACAAAUGCAGGAAAAGACACUAGGAGCUGCGGAUGCUAUCAAGAGUGCUUUGACAAAGAACUAAUGGAACUAAAUGAAUCGUUAAUUAUGCCGAACUUUCCUUCUUUUCGAAUAAACCAUGUUCCUGCUCAUCCAUAUGUUUUUGCAGAAACAUCCAUACCUUUAUUUUAGAUGUAUUGAUCUUACUUCUAUUUGUAUAAGCAUUCAAUUUUAUUUCAAAUGUAACCAUUUUCAUGUGAUU